Molecule: ribosomal RNA, 452 nt
Filed under: Escherichia coli
Lineage: Bacteria; Pseudomonadati; Pseudomonadota; Gammaproteobacteria; Enterobacterales; Enterobacteriaceae
Description: bacterial SSU rRNA
Rfam family: Bacterial small subunit ribosomal RNA
Source: RNAcentral
AAAUUGAAGAGUUUGAUCAUGGCUCAGAUUGAACGCUGGCGGCAGGCCUAACACAUGCAAGUCGAACGGUAACAGGAAGCAGCUUGCUGCUUCGCUGACGAGUGGCGGACGGGUGAGUAAUGUCUGGGAAACUGCCUGAUGGAGGGGGAUAACUACUGGAAACGGUAGCUAAUACCGCAUAAUGUCGCAAGACCAAAGAGGGGGACCUUCGGGCCUCUUGUCAUCGGAUGUGCCCAGAUGGGAUUAGCUUGUUGGUGGGGUAACGGCUCACCAAGGCGACGAUCCCUAGCUGGUCUGAGAGGAUGACCAGCCACACUGGAACUGAGACACGGUCCAGACUCCUACGGGAGGCAGCAGUGGGGAAUAUUGCACAAUGGGCGCAAGCCUGAUGCAGCCAUGCCGCGUGUAUGAAGAAGGCCUUCGGGUUGUAAAGUACUUUCAGCGGGGAGGAA